This 318-nucleotide unclassified non-coding RNA is filed under the name Pochonia sp. RNAcentral describes it as "partial contains 5.8S ribosomal RNA, internal transcribed spacer 2, and large subunit ribosomal RNA". The stretch from base 1 to 71 matches the Rfam family "5.8S ribosomal RNA", at positions 84 to 154 of the family's 154-position model. Lineage: Eukaryota; Fungi; Ascomycota; Sordariomycetes; Hypocreales; Clavicipitaceae. The record is from RNAcentral.
GUGAAUCAUCGAAUCUUUGAACGCACAUUGCGCCCGCCAGUAUUCUGGCGGGCAUGCCUGUUCGAGCGUCAUUUCAACCCUCAAGCCCCAGCGGCCUGGUGUUGGGGACCGGCGACCUCGCUGACGCCCUUCUUGGGCCCAGCGUCCGCCGCCCCCGAAAUGAAUUGGCGGUCUCGUCGCGGCCUCCUCUGCGUAGUAGCACAACCUCGCAACAGGAGCGCGACGCGGCCACUGCCGUAAAACGCCCAACUUUUUUAGAGUUGACCUCGGAUCAGGUAGGAAUACCCGCUGAACUUAAGCAUAUCAAUAAGCGGAGGA